This 254-nucleotide ribosomal RNA is filed under the name uncultured bacterium. RNAcentral describes it as "partial 16S ribosomal RNA". It matches the Rfam family "Bacterial small subunit ribosomal RNA", at positions 526 to 779 of the family's 1533-position model. The record is from RNAcentral.
CGUAGGGGCGAGCGUUGUCCGGAAUUAUUGGGCGUAAAGAGCGUGUAGGCGGUUCGGUAAGUCUGUCGUGAAAUCCUGAGGCUCAACCUCGGGCGUGCGAUGGAUACUGCCGGGCUAGAGGGUGGUAGAGGCGAGUGGAAUUCCCGGUGUAGCGGUGAAAUGCGCAGAUAUCGGGAGGAACACCAGUAGCGAAGGCGGCUCGCUGGGCCACACCUGACGCUGAGACGCGAAAGCUAGGGGGAGCGAACAGGAUU